AAGAAAUUAAGCCCAAAAUGCCAUAUACCAAUGUUACCAAACAACAUAAAGCACACCUUUUUCUGUUGUUAUCAUUCUCUGGCCUGCUGCAUGUUUGUAUUGGUUUUGUUGGUAUAGUUGCAUCUAUAGGUUUUGUUGGUAUAGUUGCAGCCCUUGUAGUGUAGUUAGUUUUAUCUAUAGGUUUUGUUGGUAUAGUUGCAUAUUAGUGGUUUGAUUACUGAAACUACUUGUGCACUGAUUUUCUCCUCAGAUGUAAUAACUUUAUGUUGCUAUCAUUCUCUGGCCUGCUGCCUCUUAGUAUUGGUUGGAUUUUUGUAUAUCUUUAAUAGGUUUUAAGUGUUCAAUACUGAUGUAAAUUUGAUCGGUUGUCAUUCCCUAUUGAACAGGGGUUUUGAGACAUAAAUUAAUGUAUGUGUGCGUAUGUAUAUGUAUUGUACAUUCAGCAGCCCUGCAUUACUGUGGUUUAUUUUGUAUCUUUCCAGUCUGGUAAGUUGUUGCCUUUUUUUCUUGAUUGAUAUGGGGCCGAUUGCUUCAGGUGGAAUUCCUUUCAUAGAUUGCUUCAGGUGGUCUAGUAAAUAUUUCUUUCGAGUAUGAGAACUUGUCCUAUCUCGUGAUGUUUUCAUCAAUUGGAUUUCAUCUUUUGACACAUUUAUUUUAUUUUUCAGGUCAUGCGGUAUGAUGUUCAAAAAUUUUGCCUAUGAAAUAUUUCAAUAUGGCGAUCCAUUGUGGAAUUCUUUGAAGACACUAUUUUAUUGGAUUGGUUAUAUAAUGAUACUAGAUAUUUCGUUAAUAUAAGUUUAGUUUUAAAGUUAUGAGACUAUAGUUUGGAUUAAUACUUCAUUUUGUUUUAGAUUUGAUGAGAUAUAUUAUGUUCU
This 875-nucleotide long non-coding RNA is filed under the name Solanum tuberosum (potato). RNAcentral describes it as "long non-coding RNA (STUB_LNC009143)". Lineage: Eukaryota; Viridiplantae; Streptophyta; Magnoliopsida; Solanales; Solanaceae. The record is from RNAcentral.